UGACAAAUCUAAACUGCACUUCUGAAGACUAUGUGUAUGGACUGGCAGCCACCAUGCUGUGAGGAGAUUUUCCCUGGACUGAACAGUGACAUGAUCCAUGAGUGGCUAAGCAAGGCUAAAGCCUUAGCAAGUCUAACUGCUGAGAUUUACCAUUUGAGUGGCCAUAUUCUGGUGAUGAUAGAUGUGACUAAGUGUCCAUUUCCGAGGAAAAUGCAGAGUUGUCCCAAGUGAACUGAGAUCCUCGAUCUGAAAAUGACACAGCUGGAGACACUGUGCUUGCUGAAAGGUUUUCCUGCAUUCUCUGCAAUGGUCAGUUAGAUGCCCUCCAGUAAUUUCUCAUUCCCAUGAAAGCGAAUAUCAUUGUAAAAACAAGAGAUACAGUUCAUGCAGUUUACUGAGAAAAAAAGGUCGUUUUCUUUUUAUUUUAGACCUGCUGGCAAUGACAUUUCAUUGGCAUGGGUAAAAAUGACAUUUCCUUGACAGGGGUAUAUUUACUGUGGAGGCUAAUUGCAAUCUAUCACACAAGAUUUUUAUUUAUUUAUUUAUUUUUACCAUUUGAGCUUAUCUUCAGUGCUUUUAACAGGUCAAUACCUGCUUUCUGUCCUCAUUUCUGAAGGCAGGGUUUCCGUCCCUAUUGCAAUGGUGUCUCCUCAAUAGCACUGUAUGAACUGGGUUAAUGUGUCACUGCUUCCCUGCUAUAAGAAAUGGCUACAUGAGAUGAAAUAAUGGUGGGUGGAUGUCUUGCCUCCUUACAUAGAAGUGGCUUCUUGGGGUCUCUAAGAAUCCUGGAAGUCAUUUUUUCAGUACCUGAAUGCAUUUACUGGAGUUAAGUAUGGGAAUCCUCUGUCUAGCUUUUCUCUGGAAGGGGGGGGGGGGGGGGGGGGCAGAGAUUUAGAAAAGCUUCUUGGCUCAGGGGCUGGACUGGAUGCCCAUCUCUUGACUUAUUACUGAAACAAGGUUCAGCUCUGUACAGUCUGCCUCCCUCACUGGGUCUGCUUUGAAAAAAAACCCAGAACUCAUCUGUGUGGGCAAGAGGUUUCAUAUUUCUUUAUCAAACAAUUUUAAUUUGAAGUCCUUAUUUUUUAAAAAUGAGCAGUUGCUGAAACUCAUCUUUUUCUGAUCAGAGAAGGAGGGUGAGGUAACUCAAAAAACUCCUUAUGAAUUUCUCAUAAACAAGCUUGAGAAAAAAAUAUGGUUUUGUUGUUUUUUUUUGAUUUUUUUUUUUUUUUAAGCAAGCAGGAUUCACUGAUGCAAGCUCUUUAAGCAUCCUUAUAUUUUAAAAAUACAGUGUGCUGCCAGAAGAAAUAAUAAAAAGCAAAGUGAAUCUCUGCCUCCA
This 1336-nucleotide long non-coding RNA is filed under the name Anas platyrhynchos platyrhynchos (common mallard). Its description in RNAcentral is "lncRNA (ENSAPLG00000020326.1)". Lineage: Eukaryota; Metazoa; Chordata; Aves; Anseriformes; Anatidae. The record is from RNAcentral.